AGAGAUGGUAGACUAUGGAACGUAGGCUGUAUGAUUUUUGACCUAUGUAACAUGGUCCACUAACUCU
This is a non-coding RNA of Myotis davidii, 67 nucleotides long. Lineage: Eukaryota; Metazoa; Chordata; Mammalia; Chiroptera; Vespertilionidae. The record is from Rfam.